Molecule: non-coding RNA, 86 nt
Filed under: Skeletonema dohrnii
Lineage: Eukaryota; Bacillariophyta; Thalassiosirophyceae; Thalassiosirales; Thalassiosiraceae
Source: RNAcentral
GAUUGCAAUAAUAGCUCAUUAAUUAAUUAGUUCGUAUUAGUCUUUCUUCUUGUCCGCUUUAUCUUUUGUUUCUUCUUCCUCCUCCU